CAUAACUCUGUUUUGAGUAGAAAACAAAUAUAUAUAAUAUAUAUGUAUCUAUGUAUGUACUAGCUAAAAAUGUUAUGUAAGAAUAUAAAACCUUAGAUAAAUAUAAAUAACUUUAUGCUUCUACUUUUAUAUGACGUAACUUUUAACUAAGCUAGGUAAAAAAAAAAAAAAAAAUGUCUAAAGAUAAAAAUAAGUGAUAUUUCAUCUACUCUAAAUUGAUACACAAAUACAUACAUUGGCAUAUGUGAACACAUAUCUAUACGUGUUUAUGUAUAGGCACGUGUUUAUAUGCACAUGUUUAUAUGCACAUGUUUACAUGCGCGGUAAGGUGUAAGGGGGAAAAUGAUUAAUUACAAGGAACUAAGAAAAAACUUAGUAAUUAAAUUUUCAAACAAAAACAAAUGUUCUAAUCAAGGUGUUAAAAAUGUAAAGCGCGAAAAAAUUGAGAAUAAUACAAAACCAAUUGAUGGUGUAAAAAAAAGAUAUAUUGAUGCAGGUCCAAAAUACGAAAACGACAACAAUAACAGUAGUAUUAGUAGUAGUAGUAAAAAGAAAGAUCAUAACAAUGAUGCCACGUUUGUCGAAUAUGAUAAAAUUAAUAUUAAAAACAGUAAUAGGUAUAACGAAGAAACAACAUUUAACAUUUUUUCUGAGCUAGACAAUAUAUUGAAUGAUAGCGAAAUUUCAAAAGAUGAGAACGAAUUUGUAAAAAGUAAUCAAACAAAAAAAACAGAAAAGAGUCUUAAUUUGAAUAAUAGUUAUAAUUUGAAUAAAAAUACGAACAUCCACACAAAUUUGUUUCCAGUGACCAGUAAUAUGUUAAGCGAUAAUGAUGAUACUAAUGAUAAGAUUUUUUUAAAAAAAAAAGAUAACGAUAGUUAUAAUGAAAAAACGUUUAAAAAAAAUAUGAAUGUUGUAGAAUUAAGUUUUAGCGUAAUAAAUAAAUGGAAUGACCCCAUUGAUUUGAUAGAGUUUGUAAAAAAUAAUUUAAAAAAUAAUGAAUUUAUGUACAUAAAAAGAUUAAGCAACAACAGAUACGAAAAAGUAAGCUGCGCAAACAAGAAAGACCCAAACAUAAUGUCCAUUUCGCUAAACGGAGUUAUGGUUAACGAAAAAAACGAUACGAUAUUUUAUGAAUUAAAUGAGUGGAAAGACAACGUGAUUUUACUGAAGAAUGCUAAGAAUUUAAAAUUUGUUAAAAAAUAUCAUUUAUAUAAAUAUUUUUUUUUAUUAAAGAAUAUGAUAAAAUGUAAUAAAUUUCGAAAUAGAAAAAAUUACAUACAAAAUAAUUUAUUAUAUUUAAAUAGACAGUUGUUUAUAGCAUUAAUGCAAAUACAUACAAUUUUACAAGAAAUAAAUGAAAUUAAAAUAAUCGAUACUAAUAUAAAUAACAUGAGUAUAGAAGAAUUUAAAGAGCUACAAAAUGAUUAUAUUUUGUAUUUUAACCUGACAUUAAAAAUGAAUUUAAAGAAUAUUGUUGAUAUAAUAUGCAAGCAUUGUACAAAGGCAUUAUAUGAUUACUUAAGUAGCAAUGGGAUAAAGCAAGAAAACAUAUCAGCUUCGAAAAAUGUCCGGGUUAGUCUUGUCAACAGAGCUAGCACAACUGCUACAGCUACAACUGCUACAGCUACAACUGCAACUGCUACGAGUUCUAAAAUAAGAAAAAAAAAAAAAACAGUGCUAGUAAGAAAAAGUAAACAAGCGAGUACAAAUGUAUCCGUACCCACGAUUGCGCACCAAAAUGAAAACAUAGAUGUAAAUAUUUAUUACAACAAAAUCGCAUUGAGUAGCUGCUUUGCUAUUUAUAUUAAAAAAUUUAUAAACCUGAAUCAAUACUUAUGUAAUAACACGUUGCGAAAUAUUAUUAUUAAUACAUAUGAAUAUAUUCUUAAGCUAUUAAAUGUUUAUUUUGUAGAAUAUGAUGAUAGUAGUAGCAACUUGGUUGUUACUUCUACUGUUAAAAAUGGCAAUACUAUUUUAAAAGCAGGUGCUACGAAACAUGCUAAUGCAGGAAGUAAUGACAAUACAAUGAUGUUGCCUUUGCAAAUGGACGGCAUAAUAAAUGAAGGUGCACAUACCACAAACACUUCCCAAACACAAGAAGAACACAUGAUUGGUAAUGAUAUUACAAAGAUGUUAACACGUAACGAAAAAUAUAGCAAUACAAAAAAAAUGGAUAAUAAAAUAAGGUACAAACUGAAGGAAUCAGAUGAUGGUAUUGCCACUUCUACUACCACUACUACUGCUACUGCUACUGACACUGCUACUACUACUACUACUACUACUGCUGUUAGCACCGACAGCACUACAAAUGCGGGUGCAAAUACAAAUACGAACGAAAAUAACAAAAACGCGAGUUCUUUUGGUAGAAAUGUUAUUAACAUAUAUGAUAGAAGUCAUAGUGCACAGAAACAAAUAAACGAAGUAUGUUUAUUUAAUAUAAUAAUAACAAUAGAGGAUAAUAAACCGAAAAUAAAACCAGAAUUAGAUUUGUUAUUAAAUACGUUGGAAUAUUACAUUAACAUUAAUAUAAAAUGUCUAAAUAAUAGAGAACCAUUUUUUAAUGAUAUUAAAAUACAAAACUUUUUUAAAAACGAAAUUUAUGUUGAUAGUAUUAUAAGUAGUAACAAGCGGGGUUAUAAUUAUAAUUAUAAUAUGCAUGACAACAAUAAUAGUAG
Molecule: long non-coding RNA, 2678 nt
Organism: Piliocolobus tephrosceles (Ugandan red Colobus)
Lineage: Eukaryota; Metazoa; Chordata; Mammalia; Primates; Cercopithecidae
Source: Ensembl